RNAcentral lists this non-coding RNA (29 nucleotides) under Mus musculus (house mouse). Lineage: Eukaryota; Metazoa; Chordata; Mammalia; Rodentia; Muridae. The record is from RNAcentral.
UAUUUAUUUAACUGUUUCUACUUCAGCCA